AAUCCGUGAGUCAUCGAAUCUUUGAACGCACAUUGCGCCCUCUGGUAUUCCGGGGGGCAUGCCUGUUCGAGCGUCAUUAUCACCCCUCAAGCCCGGCUUGUUGUUGGACGUCGGCGGCGGCCUUUAGUGGCGUACCGCCCGUCUCAAAGAUAAUGACGGCGUCUGUGAGGACACCUGUACACUGAGCUUUCGGGCACGUACUAGGCUGAUACUUGCAGACCCGGUCUUCGGGUUCGCUUCGGCGUUCCCAACUUUUAUACCAAGGUUGACCUCGGAUCAGGUAGGAAUACCCGCUGAACUUAAGCAUAUCAAUAAGCGGAGGAAAAGAAACCAACAGGGAUUGCCUUAGUAACGGCGAGUGAAGCGGCAACAGCUCAAAUUUGAAAUCUGGCCUCUUUGGGGUCCGAGUUGUAAUUUGGAGAGGAUGUUUCGGGUACGGUCCGGGCUUAUAUUUCUUGGAACAGAAUGUCAUAGAGGGUGAGAAUCCCGUCUGGAGUCCGGACACGGCCUAUGUGAAACUCCUUCGACGAGUCGAGUUGUUUGGGAAUGCAGCUCUAAAUGGGUGGUAAAUUUCAUCUAAAGCUAAAUAUUGGCCAGAGACCGAUAGCGCACAAGUAGAGUGAUCGAAAGAUGAAAAGCACUUUGAAAAGAGAGUUAAAAAGUACGUGAAAUUGUUGAAAGGGAAGCGCUGGCAACCAGACUUGCAUGUCGGGGUUCCCCCUUGCUUUUGCCUGGGUUACUCCCCGGCGUUCAGGCCAACAUCGGUUUCGGGGGUUGGUUAAAGGCCUUAGGAAUGUACUUACCCUCCGGGGUAAACUUAUAGCCUAGGGUGUCAUGCGACCUCC
RNAcentral lists this ribosomal RNA (845 nucleotides) under uncultured Cyphellophora. RNAcentral describes it as "eukaryotic LSU rRNA". The stretch from base 267 to 845 matches the Rfam family "Eukaryotic large subunit ribosomal RNA", at positions 1 to 585 of the family's 3401-position model. Lineage: Eukaryota; Fungi; Ascomycota; Eurotiomycetes; Chaetothyriales; Herpotrichiellaceae. The record is from RNAcentral.